This is a long non-coding RNA of Bicyclus anynana (squinting bush brown), 433 nucleotides long. RefSeq lists it as uncharacterized. The transcript is spliced from 2 exons. Lineage: Eukaryota; Metazoa; Arthropoda; Insecta; Lepidoptera; Nymphalidae. The record is from RefSeq and is a predicted model, not a curated record.
CAAAUUAAUCUCGUUGUGAUUUUGUUUUUCAGAAAAUAAAUGUGAAUAGAUCGUAAAUUCGGUGUAGUUUUUGGUGUAAUUCGUACUGUACGCGUAUAAUAAAGGAUUUAGACACUUUGUUCUUUAGAAAUUACGUAUAACGAGAUUUGGAAUAUGCCCUAUAACUGCAGACUCCAAUAUUGCAAAUAGCACCUGCAAUACAGUGGAAUAACAUAUUGGUGUGCUGAAGAAAAGAUGGCAAAGGCUUUGCUGAAGAAAAGCUGAUAGGACAUUGUACUGAUGACCCUGUUAUCUGGUCAAAUCAUACAUGUGUGUAUUAUCAAAAUAUUUGCAUAGAUUGUGAAAUGCAAAUAUUUUGAUAAUACACACAUUAAUGAUUUGAAAAUAUUUGAUUUGGUCUUUGAUAUUUGAAAAUAAAAGAAUACUUACUUUG